This 253-nucleotide ribosomal RNA is filed under the name uncultured bacterium. Its description in RNAcentral is "partial 16S ribosomal RNA". It matches the Rfam family "Bacterial small subunit ribosomal RNA", at positions 524 to 776 of the family's 1533-position model. The record is from RNAcentral.
UACGGAGGGAGCAAGCGUUGUCCGGAAUCAUUGGGCGUAAAGCGCGCGUAGGUGGCCCGGUAAGUCCGCUCUGAAAGUCACAGGCUCAACCUGUGAAAGCGGGUGGAUACUGCCGGGCUAGAGUCCGGAAGAGGCGAGUGGAAUUCCUGGUGUAGCGGUGGAAUGCGCAGAUAUCAGGAGGAACACCAACGGCGAAGGCAGCUCGCUGGGACGGUACUGACACUGAGGCGCGAAAGCGUGGGGAGCGAACAGG